This 2709-nucleotide ribosomal RNA is filed under the name Triticum aestivum (bread wheat). RNAcentral describes it as "partial small subunit ribosomal RNA". The record is from RNAcentral. Lineage: Eukaryota; Viridiplantae; Streptophyta; Magnoliopsida; Poales; Poaceae.
GGUGCAUGAGGAUUUGGCCAAUCCCCUCCACGCGCGCGCACCCAAUCCCAUCCUUGUCUCACCUCAGCCGCCUCACCUCAGCCGCCCCCGCACAAACCCUAGCCCCUUUUCUCCUCCAUUCCCACAGCCGCCGCAACCCUCCCUCUCGGUCUCCCCUCCCUCCCCACCUCCCUUGUCAGCGGUUGCCGCCACUCCACCUCCCUCUUCUCUGUCGCCGGCGGCCAGCUCAUCCGCCAUGGACGGAGGGUGUCAAUCGCAAGCAGCGCUGGCGGACGAGCACACACGCAUGUCCUCUUCCUGGUGGAAGGCAACUCGAGCAUGGGAGUGUGGCCACGGCUGGGCACCAUGGGUUGGCCGAGGUGUUUCAUGGUGAGGAACAGGUGCGCCAUUUUCCAAUCCGUCCUGCCCAGCCCGAUGCCUACCAUGAAUUCAGCACAGUUUGAAGCAUCCAAGGUAGGAAGGACCAAGAAAGCAUAGAUCUGUGAAAGAAGAGACGAAGAACAAUUUUAGCUGAAGAGUUGAAGAAGACCAAGAAUAAUAAUUCAAGUGGAUGGCCGAUGCGUCUUGUUGUUUAGCGGUAUGAUGGUCGAUGGAAGUAUGUUCUAUAUUGCAAGAUGAUUGCAGCUGAUGCCGAGCCUCUCGAGAUCUGAGGGCCGUAGUAUUCAGAAUUACCUACAGCUUGAGUAGAUACACAUUAUUCACUGCAUAUUUUAUUCCAAUGGUUUUACUUCCACACCACUGGUUUGUCUAUAUUAAAUCACAAGAACUUCAUGAGCUUAAUUGGUUACUGUGUAGAAGGGCAUUCUUUCAAGGAGCUGUAGAUUUUUUGAAUAUGCUCCCUGCUGGACCAUUUUCGGUAUGUACAGAAUUUGUUGAGAAUGGGUGUGAAAAAAUUGACCAUCCAGUGGAUUUAUACGCAUGGUAUGUACAGAAUUCUGCAACCACAAUAGAAGUAAGGCCAUGGAGCAAGAAUUCUGUUGGGCAUCCUUUGCAUUUAUCUUGUCAGGUUCCCAUGCUUCAUAGCAUGUGUGUAAGCGUAGCAGUACACACAUACACUGCAGUUCAUACUGCCAUUUAAUAGGGGAUGCAUUAGGGUACUUUAUUUCCAUUAUAAACUGAUAAUAGUUAUGAGUUUAGUAAGGUAACAAUAAUUUGGGUUAUAGCAGAAUAUAGAUGUGGUAUGCUUGUAUGAGUAGAAUGCAGAGUUUAUAAAUGAACUAAAAUCUGAGAACAGGAAGUGGUAGGUUUAAUUUCAGUUAGAAGAUUAGGUGUACUGCAGUAUCAUAUAUUCAGGUAAUCCCUUGCAUUUUUUUGCCAUGUUCAGGCUUUAUACAUCGUUUGUAUAUGCAUAAAGUACGCCACAUAAACUGGAGUUCAUAGUGUCAGGAGUAAGAGAGGUGCAACUAAGUACUAGCAUGUUACAGGAUAAGAACGACUCUUUAGUUUAACUCCAAAGAGGUUAGAUGAAAUGAGUUCUUGAUAUAUCUGAACUCUAGAUUAUAAGAUGCAUCUUCUUACUCUUCCUGAGAUCACGGUUAUCAUAACUGGACGUUCGUUUGUUUGUCGGAAGUUUUAUCUCUUCUCUACAGUCAAAGCUCAUGUGCAAUUUGGAGAAAAAUGCACACAUGCUGUCGCCGCAGUUGACGAUUCCUUUUAGGUAUCUAACCAAUAGCGGCCUAUGUUUCCUGGUCAUUUUUCUUUUGGAAAUGGAAGUUGUUGCUUCCUAGGCGAGCUGAGUGCCUGCUUUUGAUGAUAGGAAACUAACAAGGCAGAAGGCAAUGUGGUAGACGCUGUACUUGCAGGAGGUCUUUAUCGAUGUUGGUCUAGCUGUAUUGUCUAACGACACUUCAUGCGGUCCUCAUAUAAAUAACAUGGCUGAGAAAGUUCCUCCAAUGAAAGGAGGAGGAGUAUAGUCUUGGCCGUGGCUGGGAAGGAAGGAGAACAGGUCCCUGCAGUUAUUUGUCAUAUUGGAUACUUUACAAACAUUCUGUAAAUUGGUAUCAGUUGCACACUUUUUGUUUAUCUCCAUAUCUAUGAUGACUACCUACUCCAAAGCAUCCCCACGUUAAUUUGAAAUAAAAGGAGAAGACCAGAACCAUGAUUUUUAUUCAAUGGUGGUUGAUUAGUAGUGUUCCUCUCCAACCAUUGAGGCUCAGUUUCCAAGUUCUGACCUAGCAUCAAUCCAUCAUGUAAAUUCCCAGUACAUGACUUUAUCUCACUGUGGUUAAUUUAUCAAAGGAGUUGUAUGCCGUUGUUUGAAGCGGAUCAGGUGCCCGCCUCUGUCUGCGAGGCUUCCACAAGUAAUAUAGUUGCGGCCUGGCGCUGCAACAAUUUGCUACCGCGGCGCCAUUCAACUUCCUCACCAGUCGCUCCUAUGCCCACUCACAGGAAUCUCAAGACUUAGGAAUGGCGCCCCAACAAUUGUGAGCGGCACAAAGGAAGGGUCGCCAUCACCAAGGAUGUACGCUGACAAUUGUGGACUCCAAAGAGGAAGAAGUUCUAUAUUUAGUGCAUUGAGUUGCUAUUUAAAAUUCUGAGAGGUGUUGAAUUUUGUUAAUUUUUAAGAUAUUGACUUGGAAGAAUUAGUAUUUUGCUUGAUGUAAACUCAGAUUAAUUUGUCAUGUCAUUUGAACCGAGCAACCUUUUUGUGACACCACUUCAUGAUUUUUGUGUGAUAUUUUUUUUACAGGUAGAUUUUUGUGUGAUAUU